Molecule: ribosomal RNA, 520 nt
Filed under: uncultured bacterium
Lineage: Bacteria
Description: bacterial SSU rRNA
Rfam family: Bacterial small subunit ribosomal RNA
Source: RNAcentral
ACUGGGCGUAAAGGGCACGCAGGCGGUGACUUAAGUGAGGUGUGAAAGCCCCGGGCUUAACCUGGGAAUUGCAUUUCAUACUGGGUCGCUAGAGUACUUUAGGGAGGGGUAGAAUUCCACGUGUAGCGGUGAAAUGCGUAGAGAUGUGGAGGAAUACCGAAGGCGAAGGCAGCCCCUUGGGAAUGUACUGACGCUCAUGUGCGAAAGCGUGGGGAGCAAACAGGAUUAGAUACCCUGGUAGUCCACGCUGUAAACGAUGUCGAUUUGGGGGUUGAACUUUGUGUUUGGCGCCCGUAGCUAACGUGAUAAAUCGACCGCCUGGGGAGUACGGCCGCAAGGUUAAAACUCAAAUGAAUUGACGGGGGCCCGCACAAGCGGUGGAGCAUGUGGUUUAAUUCGAUGCAACGCGAAGAACCUUACCUACUCUUGACAUCCAGAGAACUUUCCAGAGAUGGAUUGGUGCCUUCGGGAACUCUGAGACAGGUGCUGCAUGGCUGUCGUCAGCUCGUGUCGUGAGAAG